AGAGUUUGAUCAUGGCUCAGAGCGAACGCUGGCGGCGUGCUUAACACAUGCAAGUCGAACGAGGUUUGUAGCAAUACAAAUACUCGUGGCGAACGGGUGCGUAACACGUGGAUAACCUUCCUUCAGGUGGGGAAUAACCCAGUGAAAAUUGGGCUAAUACCGCAUAACAUCGCGAUGGCACAUGCUGUUGCGUUCAAAGCCGCAAGGCGCCAGAAGAGGGAUCCGCGGCCGAUUAGCUUGUUGGCGAGGUAAUGGCUCACCAAGGCUUUGAUCGGUAUCCGGACUGAGAGGUUGGCCGGACACACUGGAACUGAGACACGGUCCAGACUCCUACGGGAGGCAGCAGUGGGGAAUCUUGCACAAUGGACGAAAGUCUGAUGCAGCAACGCCGCGUGGGGGAUGAAGCUUCUCGGAGUGUAAACCCCUUUCGACCUGGACGAAUGCCCGCAAGGGCUUGACGGUACAGGUAUAAGAAGCCCCGGCUAACUACGUGCCAGCAGCCGCGGUAAUACGUAGGGGGCCAGCGUUGCUCGGAAUUACUGGGCGUAAAGGGUCCGUAGGCGGUGUGGUAAGUCGAUAGUGAAAUCUCUGGGCUUAACCCAGAGGCUGCUAACGAAACUACCAUGCUAGAGUGUGAGAGAGGCGAGUGGAAUUACGGGUGUAGCGGUGAAAUGCGUAGAUAUCCGUAGGAACAUCCGAGGCGAAAGCGGCUCGCUGGAUCACAACUGACGCUGAGGGACGAAAGCUAGGGGAGCAAACAGGAUUAGAUACCCUUGUAGUCC
This 782-nucleotide ribosomal RNA is filed under the name uncultured bacterium. Its description in RNAcentral is "bacterial SSU rRNA". It matches the Rfam family "Bacterial small subunit ribosomal RNA", at positions 8 to 796 of the family's 1533-position model. The record is from RNAcentral.